GUGAGGAAUAUUGGUCAAUGGGCGGAAGCCUGAACCAGCCAUCCCGCGUGGAGGAAGACGGCCCUAUGGGUUGUAAACUUCUUUUCAAGGGGAAGAAAGUUCGCGACGUGUCGCGAUUUGCCGGUACCUUUGGAAUAAGCAUCGGCUAACUCCGUGCCAGCAGCCGCGGUAAUACGGAGGAUGCGAGCGUUAUCCGGAUUUAUUGGGGUUAAAGGGUGCGUAGGACGAUCGAUAAGUCAGCGGUGAAAUACCAUGGCCCAACCAUGGAACUGCCGUUGAUACUGUCGGUAGCGAAUAUGGUCAAGGUAGGCGGAAUGUGUAAUGUAGCGGUGAAAUGCUUAGAUAUUACACAGAACACCGAUUGCGAAGGCAGCUUACUGGUCCAUUAUUGACGCUGAGGCACGAAAGCGUGGGGAUCGAACAGGAUUAGAUACCCGGGUAGUCC
Molecule: ribosomal RNA, 445 nt
Filed under: uncultured bacterium
Lineage: Bacteria
Description: partial 16S ribosomal RNA
Rfam family: Bacterial small subunit ribosomal RNA
Source: RNAcentral